GAGGUUGUGGCUCAGUGGCAGAGUGCUUGUCUUGUACAUAUGAGACACUGGGUUCAAUCCUCAGCACCGCA
RNAcentral lists this transfer RNA (71 nucleotides) under Ictidomys tridecemlineatus (thirteen-lined ground squirrel). RNAcentral's name for it is "Spermophilus tridecemlineatus (thirteen-lined ground squirrel) tRNA". It matches the Rfam family "tRNA". Rfam says of the family: Transfer RNA (tRNA) molecules are approximately 80 nucleotides in length. Their secondary structure includes four short double-helical elements and three loops (D, anti-codon, and T loops). The record is from Rfam by way of RNAcentral. Lineage: Eukaryota; Metazoa; Chordata; Mammalia; Rodentia; Sciuridae.